Molecule: ribosomal RNA, 700 nt
Filed under: uncultured Lysobacteraceae bacterium
Lineage: Bacteria; Pseudomonadati; Pseudomonadota; Gammaproteobacteria; Lysobacterales; Lysobacteraceae
Description: bacterial SSU rRNA
Rfam family: Bacterial small subunit ribosomal RNA
Source: RNAcentral
AACGGCAGCACAGCAGUAGCAAUACUGUGGGUGGCGAGUGGCGGACGGGUGAGGAAUACAUCGGGAUCUACCUUUUCGUGGGGGAUAACGUAGGGAAACUUACGCUAAUACCGCAUACGCCCUACGGGGGAAAGCGGCGGACCGCAAGGCGUCGCGCGAUGAGAUGAACCGAUGUCCGAUUAGCUAGUUGGCGGGGUAAAGGCCCACCAAGGCGACGAUCGGUAGCUGAUCUGAGAGGAUGAUCAGCCACACUGGAACUGAGACACGGUCCAGACUCCUACGGGAGGCAGCAGUGGGGAAUAUUGGACAAUGGGCGCAAGCCUGAUCCAGCCAUGCCGCGUGGGUGAAGAAGGCCUUCGGGUUGUAAAGCCCUUUUGUCCGGAAAGAAAAGCACGGGAUUAAUACCCUCGUGUGAUGACGGUACCGGAAGAAUAAGCACCGGCUAACUUCGUGCCAGCAGCCGCGGUAAUACGAAGGGUGCAAGCGUUACUCGGAAUUACUGGGCGUAAAGCGUGCGUAGGUGGUUUGUUAAGUCUGUCGUGAAAUCCCCGGGCUCAACCUGGGAAUGGCGAUGGAUACUGGCAAGCUAGAGUGAGGUAGAGGAGAGUGGAAUUCCCGGUGUAGCAGUGAAAUGCGUAGAGAUCGGGAGGAACAUCAGUUGCGAAGGCGGCUCUCUGGACCAUCACUGACACUGAGGCAC